Monodelphis domestica (gray short-tailed opossum) is the source of this 902-nucleotide long non-coding RNA. RefSeq lists it as uncharacterized. Lineage: Eukaryota; Metazoa; Chordata; Mammalia; Didelphimorphia; Didelphidae. The record is from RefSeq and is a predicted model, not a curated record.
CUCCCCAGGGCCAAGAAGAACAAGCCUAAUACCUCUUCUAUAUGACCAUCCUUCAAAUAAUCGAAGAUAACCAUCAUGUCCCCUCCCCUUGAAUCUUCUUUUCUCAAGGUUAAACAACCCAAUUAUUUUGGCUUCUCAUAUGACAUCCAUCCUAAGCCCUAAGGAUCAUAUGUCUACAAACUGAGACAACUUUUGCCAUUUUCUAGUCCUGUGGCCCUUGUUCUUCACAACUCUUCAAAGAUCACUAACAAUGGCACAGCAGUCACUUCUUUAAGUUCUUUUAUUACCCUGGGAUUCAUAGAGGCUUGUGGACUUGAAGUCAUAAAAAUCAGGCCAAUGUUCAUUCUUAGAAUGCAAAAUGAGUGUCUAACAGUUCUGUCUUCUCUCUGUCCUCUGGUAUCUAAAGCAGUGCUCCCAUCCUCUUUCAUACUGAGAUUUUCCCCAAUAUAAUUGGAAAAAACUCAAAACCUCAUGUUGUCUUUAGUUUUCAUCACAAUCCUGUGUUCACUCCAAGGUUUAGAGCUCCUGACACCAUUCUUAUAGGGCUAUGCUGCUUUUUUUUGUAUUCAUUCAGUCCUUCCUUAUUUUCAUCUCCUUUAUCUAUCUUCUUUUCUGUACCUGUUUUUCAAAAGUUCAAGGUGAUUGAUGAGUACCCUGUGCAUCCACAUUCUUUGAUUUAGACAACUCCCUUUUAUUAUCUCCUCAAUAGAAUAUUCUUUAUAUCUUUAGAAUCCCAUUCUUGGAUGCUUUUCAACCUUCAUGAUCUGCUUUCCUCUGUAGAAUUUUGAUAAAAAUACUUCUACAAAGUAUUUUAAUAUUGAUCCAGUGGAUUCUAUCUCUCCUGUCUCUUAACUGUAUAGGUUAUAAUAGCAAUUGCCAUUUAUGUAAUGUUUUAAGUUUUA